AAAAGUACUAAUUCUAAUUUUUCAUUAAUUAUAACAAUGCUCUAUUUUCUUAAAUUUCGCUUUGAUUUAAAAUGGCACAAUCUCGACGUAUAUUUCCGUUUCUACCCGUCUUGACUCUGAGCGGGCCGCACUUUGUGAUGGCGGCGACAAAGGCUAUCUGAAAGGCUGGGAAGUUGGUGGCCCAUGCAUUAACAGUGGGUCUGGAUCUUGGGUCUGAAAAGAGGACUUGGUCGAAGGCGAAGAGGUGAUGGUACACGUUGUCAAAGCUAUUGGGUGUGUUCGGCUCCAUAUUGAUGGCUAUCCUGGAAUCCACGUUUCUGGGGCACUUCUGCUGUAGCUGAGUUGCGUAGGCCCUGUUGAGUGUAGGGUCUACUGGAUUUUGA
This 383-nucleotide unclassified non-coding RNA is filed under the name Hevea brasiliensis (rubber tree). The record is from RNAcentral. Lineage: Eukaryota; Viridiplantae; Streptophyta; Magnoliopsida; Malpighiales; Euphorbiaceae.